RNAcentral lists this long non-coding RNA (6473 nucleotides) under Lactuca sativa (garden lettuce). RNAcentral's name for it is "long non-coding RNA (LSAT_LNC003944)". Lineage: Eukaryota; Viridiplantae; Streptophyta; Magnoliopsida; Asterales; Asteraceae. The record is from RNAcentral.
GAUGGAUUGUUGUGUUGUUGUCCAACGUUUAUAACCCUGUAUUAGUACCCCUUAGAGGUCCAGAAGGUCCUAUGUUUGUAUAUUUGGGAAAAUAUGUAUCUCAGGAAGCAGUUUGAUCGACUGCAUGGCGUGGACUCGCCGAGUCGGAUGAUCAGACUCGGCGAGUAGCUUGAAGAUUCACUGGGACUCGCCGAGUUGUUCUUCAGACUCGGCGAGUGGAGUCGGGGUGGCCCCGCGAUUCUUCCAGGAGUGACUCGUCGAGUCAAAGAGGAUACUCGACGAGUAGAAGGGGAAUCUUAGAGGAUUGAAGGACGACCAGACUCGCCGAGUCGCCAGGGAACUCGCCGAGUCCAGUCGAGCUGACAAUGGACUGUUGACCAGAGUUGACUGGUGUGAUUUCUUAGGGUCAGUUAACGUGGAAGAUAGAAGUAUUAAUAAGGGAUAUAUGAUGUUACAGGGAGCUUGUAGCUCGGAGGAUCAAGUGCAAGGGAUUUUAGGAGUUGCUAUCUUCCAGUGUCCGCGAGGUGAGUCUUCUCACUAUACUUCACCCGGAAGGGUUUGAUUGUGUGACCGGAAGGUCAAGUAUGUUAUGUGUUAUGUUUAUAUGCUAUAAAUGGAAAGUUAGCUGCUACGCGUGAUAUACAUGCUUAUAUAUGGGCCGGAAGGCAAGGUAUUAUGUGACAGAAAGGUCAGGUAUGAUAUAUGAUAUAUGUGCUUUAUGUGUUAGAGUAUUUGUAUUAUGUGUUAUAUAUGUGUAUGGGCCGGAAGGCAAUUAUCUUAUGGGCCGGAAGGCGAUAUAUAUUGUGGACCGAAAGGUCCGGGCCGGAAGGCAAUGUUAUGUGGACCGAAAGGUCCGGGCCGGAAGGCAAUGUUAUGUGGACCGAAAGGUCCGGGCCGGAAGGCGUAUGUGCGUAAGGUAUAUUGGGGAACUCACUAAGCUUCGUGCUUACGUUGUUUAUGUUAUGUUGUUUCAGGUUCUUACAGUAACGCGGGAUGGCAACGGUUCGAUUGUACACACCGAAGAAAGAGUUGUGUUUUGGAGGAUCCUGGUCUUCUAUUAUAAUGAAAAUGAAACUAUGUUUUGUAAUUCGAAUGUGAAUAAGAUUUUAAACAAGUGUUUUUAAUAUUAAAUUGAUUAUUUAAAUGAAAAUUUUGUUUUUGGAAAUCAUGGUGUUACAAAUUGGUAUCAGAGCCUUGGUUUGAGGGAUUCGGACGCGCCUACGGGUAAAUCUGGACUCAAACUGAGGAAGUAAGAAAAAGUUUUCCAAAUAAAUGGUUUUCUAAAAGUGAAUAAGAGUUCAAAGAGAAAGCAAGAAAGAGCAGUGUGUACAAUCAGCCAGAGCCAAACGGUGAUUUCCCAAAAUACCCUUACUUUUGUAUUAUGAAAUAUCUAUUAUGCACUUUAUGAGACAUUAUUGCAUGCUAGAGACAGGCUAGGUAUUUCACAUCUUAGGACUAGAGUGGCCUGAUUUGUGAUGCCUUAGUCUAGGGUUUGCUGUUAUAUGUGCGUUAUGCUUUUGUGUGUAUGUGAUGAGUGAGAGUAUCUAGUUAGAACGCACAAGGGGUAAAGCUACGGGGUACAGAGGUACUUCCGAGGAUGAGCCGAGAAGGUGGAGCUACCACAGAUGGGGAGUCCUAUGUAUGCUUCAAUGCUCGAAUGCUGCUUGCUUUGUGCUUUGUGGAGUUAUCGAUGAUGGGAGUCAGCUACUAAGUGAGUAUGACGAUACUCAGGAGGUAGAGGGCUGGCAUCAUUAGGAACUCUUCAGCAGCUGAUAGCAAAGAAGUGGGAGGACAGCGGAAGGGACUAGGGAGUAAACCUAGCCAGAUGAGUGCGCUGGUAGAGUAGAGGAUUUCGCUGGAAAGCGAGCACGCGCGAUGAGAUGGGUGAAAGAGCAGGUUUAUCAGCUACUUAGGAACUCUGGGAUGGUCCGUGUGGAAAGUAUGGGUAGAUGUGGCAGGUAGUAUGGGCCCGUACUACUGAAAGCAGAGGACCCAUACUUGAUACAGGGGGCAUUCUGAAGGUCCUAAGGAACAGAUUGAGGGGUGAUGUUAUGGUUCGGAUACCAUACAUCGGAGCGGAUACAGAGUGAUGUUAUGGUCAGGGCACCAUACAUCGGAACAGAUUGAGAUAGAUGUUGUGGUUCGAGUGCUAUACAUUGGAGCAGAUUGAGGAAUGGUGCUAUGGUUCAGGUACCAUACACCGAAGCAUGUUGAGGAGGGAUGUCAUGGGAUGAGUACCAUGGUUCGUAGUGGAUGAUGCUUGUGGCUAUCUUGUUAUCCGGUUAUCGAUCGGACGAGCACGAGCGAGCGGGAUGCGAGGAUUCGCGAGAUCCGGCGUGAUGAGGUUGCUGCAUUGUUGCGGGCUGAGUCGCCAGAAUUGUUUGGGUCGAUCAGGACCACUAUGAUUGAAGUAGUUUGAUGAGCGAUAUGCGGCUUUCGCAGAGACGGCUGCCGCGGCGGUUACAGCGGCUGUAGCAACGGCAAAGAAAGGGGCUAGUCGGGGUUUUCAGUAUCGGGACUUCUAUUAUGCGAAGCCUCCCACAUUCGAUGGAGUUCAGGACUCGAUUGUUGCUAUGAGAUGGUUAUCAGACAUGGAGGGGUGUUUCUCCACGAGUUUAUGCCCUGCUGAUCAGAGGGUGGGGUGUGCUCUGAACCUAUUGAGGCUCGGGGCGAAGGAUUGGUGGAGAUUGACCACGAGGUCAUUUUCCGAUGCGCAGAGGGCUGCGGUUUCAUGGGAUCAAUUCAGAGGGAUGUUCAGUACUCGCUAUGUUCCGCGGGAUGAAAAGGAGAAAUUGGCUCGGAAGUUCCUUAAGCUGAAGCAGGAUUUGGAGUCGGUGACUGAGAGCACCGGGAUGUUUAUUGAGAGGGCGAUGUUUUGCCCUGAGUUCGCUUCGGAGCAGGCUCAGAUGUCCCGAUAUCCGAGUAUGCUCAAGGGGGGGUAUCAGACAGUUCGUGUCUGCGCAGAGGCGCGAGACCGUGUUGGUAUCGCAGGAGGCCGCCAUGUGGCGUGAGUUAGAGGUUGAGUUGCAGUUGCGUGAGAUGAGGCAGGCCCCGAUGCAGUCGCAGUCGGCGCCGAAACGGUCCAUGACCGUAGACGUUAGAAUGGGGGAUCGGAGCGGUCACACUUGUGGGAAGUGUGAGAGAGAUGGCACCGGAGCUUGUUGGCCCAGUGGUGCAUGCCGCAAGUGCGGAAAGGAGGGGCAUGGUGCACGGGAUUGUCGGCAGUCAGUGCCAAUUCGGGAUUUCAGGAUUUGUUAUCAGUGUCGGCAGGUUGGACAUUUGAGGGUCAACCGUCCACAGUUUCCUGCAGGACCGGUGCAGGCUCUAGCAUCGGCCACCUUGAGGAGUUCAGGAGGAGGACAGGAUGGAGCAGAGCCCAAGGGCUCAGGGUCGUGCUUAUCGGCUUGCGGCAGAGGGAGACGGAGCAGUGCCGGAGGCAGCUGCGGGUAUGAUGCUCUCUUGAUGUCUUGAGUAGCUUGCGUUGAUUGUGGCGUAUUGUUUGUGCUGGUGUCUGGUGUGGAUUUCGAUGCGGUAUUCGUUGUUUCGCGGGUUUGGCAUGGUUAUGGAUUGGUGCUUCAGGUUUUCGCUUGGCAUUCGUUGUUCCCUGAUGGUUUAGUAUGAUUAUAGUUUGGUGUUUUGGUACCGGUAGCCUUGUGCGGUUUUCGAUGCGAUAUUCAACCUUUGGCAGGUUGUGGGUUUGGUUAUGGGUUAUUGCUUGGGAAUUCCGUUGGUCAUCGUUCGUGAGGGUUGAUAGUGGAGAUGCGGCACUGGGUUGAAUGACGGGUAGCAUCUGCAGUUGUGGAGUGGAUAAUUGAAAGAUCGGAUUCUUUUGAGCGGAUUGAUCAGGGAGGAGAUGUGUUUUGCUGAGGGUUGCUUACGCUUGUGGGAAGCAGUCAGUGGGUAAAUGUUCUCUUUGUGCAGGAUGGUUCUGAAAGGUCGUUAAUGACGAUCGGUGGCAGUUAGUCAGUGCUUUAGUGGGGGAGAAUUGUAAAAUUCUCCGGGAGAUCGAUGAGUAUGUAAGGGUGCUUAGCUGUUGGGAUUCAGCAGUGUUUGUCAGCGCAAAGUAUAGGCCGACGAGAGCGAGUGUUGAGUAUGCGGGGCGAGAUACAGACCUAGGGCAUUUGAUUGUGGAGGCCUGAGAGGAGGUCGGGAUCAAGCUUGAGUAAGUAAUCGGAAUUUUGCGAUCAGAGUAUUGGUACGUUUGAGGUACGUGAUGGGUUGUACUGCAUUAAUCCCACGGGAUUAUGUUGUGCAUGUUUCUAGAGCUGGAACCGGAAGGUUCCCAGAGUUAGAACCUGAGGGUUCGCAGAGUUUGGGUGUACGGACCCACAGAGAUAUAGCCUCGAGUGGCUAGUAUGUGUUAUGAGAGUCGGUCCAGUCAUACUGGAGACUCUGUUGGUAUUGCUGGAUUAGUUUGAGAUUUGCGGAUCGCGUAUGUUGCAGUGUGAUUGCAUUGGAAGGUCUGGCCCCGGGUUAUUGAUCUUGUUUAGCGGAGGCAGUGAUUUUGAUGAGUGGAGAGAGUGCAUGGGAUUGAGAGCCCCUGCAAUGAGAACCAGAGUAUGUGAAUAGCAGUUACGCAAAAAGGGUGGUGUCGCUUGGGGCGAGCACCGUGGCACCGGUUGGAGUGGCAUUAUGUUCAAGAGAGUUCCGUGGAAAAGGAAAAGAGGAGGGUAUGUAACUCCGAAGGGGGUGCAAGUUCACGAAAGUGAAAGCUGCAGAGCAGAGUUAUGGUUAGAGUAUUUCGAGUAUGGUUUUGAGCAUCGUGUUCGCGGCAGUGGAGUAGGAACCCAUCCGGUUGGGAUGUCUGUUGAGGCUCAGAAGGGAUGCAUGGAGAGAGAAAAUUUUAAAUUCUCAGUGUGAAUCUGAUCAGAGUGUAGGGUGGAUGUAGUGGUUCAUCUUGGGAGAUGUUCGAGGAUAUCAUCAGUGUAUCGGGUCUUUCCACCUGCGGGUGUUGGGACUAGUUCAGUAUGUGUAUGUGAUGGCAAGAGGGAACUUGUGAGAGUUGAUCUGAGAGGGAGAACGGAUCUCUCAGUCGGUCCGGAAUGGGCAAAGUGGGCUUUGGAUCGGGGAUCCGGUGGUUCAGGGUUUCCUAACCCUUAUGGGUUGAGUGAUCGUUGAGAUUUGGAGCAGAGUGCAUCUUGGGUAAUUUCCGAUUACAGAGAGUGAUGAGCAGUUCAGAGUUCGUACUUUAGUUGACAAAGCAGACUCAGCAGGUUAAAGAGAGUUAGUGAUCGUCUAGAGUUAACAGGAAAGUUAUGCAGGCAGACGCCGUUACGAGCAUGUGAUUCAGGUCAGCGACUUCGUAUUUCUGACGGGGUGCUUCGAUUUAGGAAGAGGGGUAAAUGGGGGGCCCCGGUAUGUUGGGUCUUUUCGUGAAGGUGCGAAGGUAGGAAGGGUGGCCUAUCGUUUGGAGCUGUCAACGGAAUUGGGACGGAUCCAUGACACUGGUAUGUGUCGCAGUUGAAGAGGUGUAUAGCGGAUGAGUCAGCAGUGGUUCUACUAGAGAACGAUUAGGUGGAUGCGAGCCUGUGUUACGUCGAGAGGCCAGUGGCCGUCGGAGAUCGGAAGAUCAAGGUUCUGAGGAACAAGGAGGUACCUCUGGUAUUGGUUCAGUAGCGACCUCGGAAGAUAUCGGAAGUGUUUAGGGAAGCCGAAACGUGUGAUGCGGGAGCAGCAUCCAGAACUAUUUUCAGAGUGAGACUUCGAGGGCGAAGUCUAAUUCUAGUGGGGGAGAAUUGUAACAGCCCAAAAUCUCAAGUAUUGUUAAAUUGCAUUUUGGGGGUGUUUUAAAGGGGAGACUCGACGAGUUGGAGCCAGACUCGCCGAGUAGGGUCGCAGGUUUGGUCGCGGGUUCACGACUGGACUCGACGAGUCCAGAUAUGGACUCGGCGAGUCGACGCUGUUCAGCGGAAACCCUAGCCGUUCAGUAUUGGGUCGUAUAUAAGGGUUAUUAUGCCGUCAUUUCACGACUUUGGAUCGAUUGGGAAGAACCCUAGGCGACUGGAGCGGCUAGAGCAAGGAUUGAAGAUCAUUGGUGAUUUGAGGAAGUUAUUGUCCAAGAAGGAGAAGGUUUUGGCUAAUGGGACAGCAAGGGAAUCACGUUUUGAGGCUUGGGGACACUGAGAGUGCAUGAUUCAGGUAACCUUUCGGAUUAUUUUCUGUUAUGUGAAUGUGUGCAUGGAUUUAGGGUUUGUGAAACCCAUUUGGAGUCUAGAUGGAUUGUUGUGUUGUUAUCCAACGUUUAUAACCCUGUAUUAGUACCCUUAGAGGUCCAGAAGGUCCUAUGUUUGUAUAUUCGGGAAAAUAUGUAUCUCAGGAAGCAGUUUGAUCGACUGCAUGGCGUGGACUCGCCGAGUCGGAUGAUCAGACUCGGCGAGUAGCUUGAAGAUUCACUGGGACUCGCCGAGUUGUUCUUCAGACUCGGCGAGUGGAGUCGGGGUGGCCCCGCGAUUCUUCCAGGAGUGACUCGUCGA